Molecule: ribosomal RNA, 460 nt
Filed under: uncultured bacterium
Lineage: Bacteria
Description: partial 16S ribosomal RNA
Rfam family: Bacterial small subunit ribosomal RNA
Source: RNAcentral
CCUACGGGUGGCAGCAGUGAGGAAUAUUGGUCAAUGGGCGGGAGCCUGAACCAGCCAAGUCGCGUGAGGGAAGACGGUCCUAUGGAUUGUAAACCUCUUUAGGCGGGGAGCAAUGCCGGGCACGCGUGCCCGGAGGGAGAGUACCCGCAGAAUAAGCAUCGGCUAACUCCGUGCCAGCCGCCGCGGUAAUACGGGGGAUGCGAGCGUUAUCCGGCUUUAUUGGGUUUAAAGGGUGCGUAGGCGGAGUUUUAAGUCAGCGGUAAACUGUCCGGGCUCAACCCGGGCCGGCCGUUGAAACUGGGGAUCUUGAGUGGGCGAGAAGUAUGCGGAAUGCGUGGUGUAGCGGUGAAAUGCAUAGAUAUCACGCAGAACUCCGAUUGCGAAGGCAGCAUACCGGCGCCCGACUGACGCUGAGGCACGAAAGCGUGGGGAUCGAACAGGAUUAGAUACCCCGGUAGUC